This 404-nucleotide ribosomal RNA is filed under the name bacterium. RNAcentral's name for it is "bacterial SSU rRNA". It matches the Rfam family "Bacterial small subunit ribosomal RNA", at positions 354 to 776 of the family's 1533-position model. The record is from RNAcentral. RNAcentral also lists the same sequence under 1 other name.
GUGGGGAAUAUUGCACAAUGGGCGAAAGCCUGAUGCAGCAACGCCGCGUGAGUGAUGAAGGCCUUCGGGUCGUAAAACUCUGUCCUCAAGGAAGAUAAUGACGGUACUUGAGGAGGAAGCCCCGGCUAACUACGUGCCAGCAGCCGCGGUAAUACGUAGGGGGCUAGCGUUAUCCGGAUUUACUGGGCGUAAAGGGUGCGUAGGCGGUCUUUCAAGUCAGGAGUGAAAGGCUACGGCUCAACCGUAGUAAGCUCUUGAAACUGGGAGACUUGAGUGCAGGAGAGGAGAGUGGAAUUCCUAGUGUAGCGGUGAAAUGCGUAGAUAUUAGGAGGAACACCAGUUGCGAAGGCGGCUCUCUGGACUGUAACUGACGCUGAGGCACGAAAGCGUGGGGAGCAAACAGG